GUCAUGGCUCAGGAUGAACGCUAGCUACAGGCUUAACACAUGCAAGUCGAGGGGCAGCAUUUCAGUUUGCUUGCAAACUGAAGAUGGCGACCGGCGCACGGGUGAGUAACACGUAUCCAACCUGCCGAUAACUCCGGGAUAGCCUUUCGAAAGAAAGAUUAAUACCGGAUGGCAUAUGAUUAUCGCAUGAUAAUCCUAUUAAAGAAUUUCGGUUAUCGAUGGGGAUGCGUUCCA
Molecule: ribosomal RNA, 234 nt
Filed under: uncultured bacterium
Lineage: Bacteria
Description: partial 16S ribosomal RNA
Rfam family: Bacterial small subunit ribosomal RNA
Source: RNAcentral